GACUCCGUAGCUCAGUUGGUAGAGCAAUUGACUCUUAAUCAAUGGGUCGACGGUUCGAGCCCGUCCGGGGUCA
RNAcentral lists this transfer RNA (73 nucleotides) under Bacteroidales bacterium. RNAcentral's name for it is "tRNA-Lys". It matches the Rfam family "tRNA". Rfam says of the family: Transfer RNA (tRNA) molecules are approximately 80 nucleotides in length. Their secondary structure includes four short double-helical elements and three loops (D, anti-codon, and T loops). RNAcentral also lists the same sequence under 3 other names. The record is from RNAcentral. Lineage: Bacteria; Pseudomonadati; Bacteroidota; Bacteroidia; Bacteroidales.